This 335-nucleotide unclassified non-coding RNA is filed under the name soil metagenome. RNAcentral describes it as "partial contains 5.8S ribosomal RNA, internal transcribed spacer 2, and large subunit ribosomal RNA". The stretch from base 1 to 120 matches the Rfam family "5.8S ribosomal RNA", at positions 35 to 154 of the family's 154-position model. The record is from RNAcentral.
GAUGAAGAACGUAGCGAAAUGCGAUAAGUAAUGUGAAUUGCAGAAUUCAGUGAAUCAUCGAAUCUUUGAACGCACAUUGCGCCCGCCAGUAUUCUGGCGGGCAUGCCUGUUCGAGCGUCAUUUCAACCAUCAAGCCCCCGGCUUGUGUUGGGGACCUGCGGCUGCCGCAGGCCCUGAAAACCAGUGGCGGGCUCGCUAGUCACUCCGAGCGUAGUAAUACAUCUCGCUCAGGGCGUGCUGCGGGUUCCGGCCGUUAAAAAGCCUUAUUUACCCAAGGUUGACCUCGGAUCGGGUAGGAAGACCCGCUGAACUUAAGCAUAUCAAUAAGCGGAGGA